UGUGUGUGUGUGUGUGUGUGUGUGUGUGUGUGUGUGUGUGUGUGUGUGUGUGCGUGCGUGUGUGUGUGGGUGUGUGUGUGUGUUUAUGUGAUGAUGUAUGGACAUAAACAGAAUAUUGAAACCUCCAACGUCGAAUAGUUGUACUAAAAGCUUGCCUAUGGGCUGUUACAGGCCAGCCUGGAGUAACCUAAAGGCUGAGUCGCAGGCAGCAAAGCUAUUACCUUUAGUCAAUAGACAUUAAUACAAGGUCUUCAAUCUUGGCCUUGUAUUUCUAGUGCCAUCUCACAGCCAAAUACAGGAGGCAGUCCUCUUAUGUAGCGGUAAAGGUAUUUGGUAGUAUCUAUUUACCCUAGUGCAUCAGUUUGACACAGUUGGAUGAGCAGAGAGCACAGAUGAUAUUGACCCAGACAGACAUGACGCUGUGAUGCACUGGCCUCGAUAGGUAGGAAGUGAUGCAAAGGUCCAUGCCAGUGCUAUUGAGCAAAGGUCAUGACCUCUGUGUGAGUCACGGAGGACCUUGCAUCCAGGGACUUCAUGUCUUAAAGGAUGAGUCUUGAGGUCGGAAGUGAUAGUGCGCUUAUAACACAAGUCCAUGGAAUACAGUAGAACAGACAGCACAGAACUGAGGAGAGGAUGGUAGAGUAGAGGAGAGGAUGGUAGAGUAGAGGAUGGUAGAGUAGAGGAGAGGAUGGUAGAGUAGAGGAGAGGAUGGUAGAGUAGAGGAGAGGAUGGUAGAGUAGAGGAUGGUAGAGUAGAGGAGAGGAUGGUAGAGUAGAGGAGAGGAUGGUAGAGUAGAGGAGAGGAUGGUAGAGGAGGGGAUGGUAGAGGAGAGUAGAGUAGAGUAGUGGAUGGUAGAGUAGAGGAGAGGAUGGUAGAGUAGAGGAGAGGAUGGUAGAGUAGAGUAGAGGAUGGUAGAGUAGAGGAGAGGAUGGUAGAGUAGAGGAGAGUAGAGUAGAGUAGUGGAUGGUAGAGUAGAGGAGAGGAUGGUAGAGUAGAGUAGAGUAGAGGAUGGUAGAGUAGAGUAGAGGAUGGUAGAGUAGAGGAGAGGAUGGUAGAGUAGAGUAGAGGAUGGUAGAGUGGAGGAGAGGAUGGUAGAGGAGAGGAUGGUAGAGUAGAGGAGAGGAUGGUAGAGGAGAGUAGAGGAUGGUAGAGUAGAGGAGAAGAUGGUAGAGUAGAGGAGAGGAUGGUAGAGUAGAGUAAAGAAUGAUAGAGUAGAGGAGAAGAUGGUAGAGUAGAGGAGAAGAUGGUAGAGUAGAGGAGAGGAUGGUAGAGUAGAGGAGAGGAUGGUAGAGUAGAGUAGAGGAUGGUAGAGUAGAGGAGAGGAUGGUAGAGUAGAGGAGAGGAUGGUAGAGUAGAGGAGAGGAUGGUAGAGUAGAGGAGAGGAUGGUAGAGUAGAGGAGAGGAUGGUAGAGUAGAGGAGAGGAUGGUAGAGUAGAGGAGAGGAUGGUAGAGUAGAGGAGAGGAUGGUAGAGUAGAGGAGAGGAUGGUAGAGUAGAGGAUGGUAGAGUAGAGGAGAAGAUGGUAGAGUAGAGGAUGGUAGAGUAGAGGAGAAGAUGGUAGAGUAGAGGAUGGUAGAGUAGAGUAGAGUAGAGUAGAGGAUGGUAGAGUAGAGGAUGGUAGAGUAGAGUAGAGGAUGGUAGAGUAGAGGAGAAGAUGGUAGAGUAGAGGAUGGUAGAGUAGAGGAGAAGAAGGUAGAGUAGAGGAGAAGAUGGUAGAGUAGAGGAUGGUAGAGUAGAGGAGAGGAUGGUAGAGUAGAGGAGAAGAUGGUAGAAUAGAGGAUGGUAGAGUAGAGGAGAGGAUGGUAGAGUAGAGGAGAAGAUGGUAGAAUAGAGGAUGGUAGAGUAGAGGAGAAGAUGGUAGAGUAGAGGAGAAGAUGGUAGAAUAGAGGAUGGUAGAGUAGAGGAGAAGAUGGUAGAGUAGAGGAUGGUAGAGUAGAGUAGAGGAUGGUAGAGUAGAGGAGAGGAUGGUAGAGUAGAGGAGAAGAUGGUUGAGUAGAGGAGAAGAUGGUAGAGUAGAGGAUGGUAGAGUAGAGGAGAGGAUGGUAGAGUAGAGGAGAGGAUGGUAGAGUAGAGGAGAAGAUGGUUGAGUAGAGGAUGGUAGAGUAGAGGAGAAGAUGGUAGAGUAGAGGAGAGGAUGGUAGAGUAGAGGAGAAGAUGGUAGAGUAGAGGAGAGGAUGUAGAGUAGAGGAGAAGAUGGUAGAGUAGAGGAGAAGAUGGUAGAGUAGAGGAUGGUAGAGUAGAGUAGAGGAUGGUAGAGUAGAGGAGAGGAUGGUAGAGUAGAGGAGAAGAUGGUAGAGUAGAGGAUGGUAGAGUAGAGGAGAGGAUGGUAGAGUAGAGGAGAGGAUGGUAGAGUAGAGGAGAAGAUGGUAGAGUAGAGGAGAGGAUGUAGAGUAGAGGAGAAGAUGGUAGAGUAGAGGAGAAGAUGGUAGAGUAGAGGAUGGUAGAGUAGAGGAGAGGAUGGUAGAGUAGAGGAGAGGAUGGUAGAAUAGAGGAGAGGAUGGUAGAGUAGAGGAGAAGAUGGUAGAGUAGAGGAUGGUAGAGUAGAGGAGAGGAUGGUAGAGUAGAGGAGAGGAUGGUAGAGUAGAGGAGAGGAUGGUAGAAUAGAGGAGAGGAUGGUAGAAUAGAGGAGAGGAUGGUAGAGUAGAGGAGAGGAUGGUAGAGUAGAGGAGAAGAUGGUAGAGGAGAGGAUGGUAGAAUAGCGGAGAAGAUGGUAGAGUAGAGGAUGGUAGAGUAGAGGAGAGGAUGGUAGAGUAGAGGAGAGGAUGGUAGAGUAGAGGAGAGGAUGGUAGAAUAGAGGAGAGGAUGGUAGAAUAGAGGAGAGGAUGGUAGAGUAGAGGAGAGGAUGGUAGAGUAGAGGAGAAGAUGGUUGAGUAGAGGAUGGUAAAGUAGAGGAGAGGAUGGUAGAGUAGAGGAGAAGAUGGUAGAGUAGAGGAGAGGAUGGUAGAAUAGAGGAGAGGAUGGUAGAGUAGAGGAGAGGAUGGUAGAGUAGAGGAUGGUAGAGUAGAGUAGAGGAUGGUAGAGUAGAGGAUAGGAUGGUAGAGUAGAGGAGAAGAUGGUUGAGUAGAGGAGAAGAUGGUAGAGUAGAGGAUGGUAGAGUAGAGGAGAGGAUGGUAGAGUAGAGGAGAGGAUGGUAGAGUAGAGGAGAAGAUGGUUGAGUAGAGGAUGGUAGAGUAGAGGAGAGGAUGGUAGAGUAGAGGAUGGUAGAAUAGAGGAGAGGAUGGUAGAGUAGAGGAGAAGAUGGUAGAGUAGAGGAUGGUAGAGUAGAGGAG
This is a long non-coding RNA of Oncorhynchus tshawytscha (Chinook salmon), 3268 nucleotides long. The record is from Ensembl. Lineage: Eukaryota; Metazoa; Chordata; Actinopteri; Salmoniformes; Salmonidae.